UACGUAGGGCGCAAGCGUUGUCCGGAAUUAUUGGGCGUAAAGAGCUCGUAGGCGGUUUGUCGCGUCUGCUGUGAAAACCUAAGGCUCAACCUUGGGCUUGCAGUGGGUACGGGCAGACUAGAGCGCGGUAGGGGUGACUGGAAUUCCUGGUGUAGCGGUGGAAUGCGCAGAUAUCAGGAGGAACACCGAUGGCGAAGGCAGGUCACUGGGCCGCAACUGACGCUGAGGAGCGAAAGCAUGGGGAGCGAACAGG
Molecule: ribosomal RNA, 253 nt
Filed under: uncultured bacterium
Lineage: Bacteria
Description: partial 16S ribosomal RNA
Rfam family: Bacterial small subunit ribosomal RNA
Source: RNAcentral